RNAcentral lists this ribosomal RNA (186 nucleotides) under uncultured bacterium. Its description in RNAcentral is "partial 16S ribosomal RNA". It matches the Rfam family "Bacterial small subunit ribosomal RNA", at positions 1314 to 1500 of the family's 1533-position model. The record is from RNAcentral.
GCCUGCGUGAAGUUGGAAUCGCUAGUAAUCGCGGAUCAGCAUGCCGCGGUGAAUACGUUCCCGGGCCUUGUACACACCGCCCGUCACACCAUGAGAGUCGGAACACCCGAAGUCCGUAGUCUAACCGCAAGGGGGACGCGGCCGAAGGUGGGUUCGAUAAUUGGGGUGAAGUCGUAACAAGGUAAC